CAACAGGGAUUGCCUUAGUAACGGCGAGUGAAGCGGCAACAGCUCAAAUUUGAAAUCUGGCCCUUUUAGGGUCCGAGUUGUAAUUUGCAGAGGGCGCUUUGGCUUUGGCAGCGGUCCAAGUUCCUUGGAACAGGACGUCACAGAGGGUGAGAAUCCCGUACGUGGUCGCUAGCUAUUGCCGUGUAAAGCCCCUUCGACGAGUCGAGUUGUUUGGGAAUGCAGCUCUAAAUGGGAGGUAAAUUUCUUCUAAAGCUAAAUAUUGGCCAGAGACCGAUAGCGCACAAGUAGAGUGAUCGAAAGAUGAAAAGCACUUUGGAAAGAGAGUCAAACAGCACGUGAAAUUGUUGAAAGGGAAGCGCUUGCAGCCAGACUUGCUUGCAGUUGCUCAUCCGGGCUUUUGCCCGGUGCACUCUUCUGCAGGCAGGCCAGCAUCAGUUUGGGCGGUGGGAUAAAGGUCUCUGACACGUUCCUUCCUUCGGGUUGGCCAUAUAGGGGAGACGUCAUACCACCAGCCUGGACUGAGGUCCGCGCAUCUGCUAGGAUGCUGGCGUAAUGGCUGUAAGCGGCCCGUCUUGAAACACGGACCAAGGAGUCUAACAUCUAUGCGAGUGUUUGGGUGUCAAGCCCGAGCGCGUAAUGAAAGUGAACGGAGGUGGGAACCCGCAAGGGUGCACCAUCGACCGAUCCUGAAGUUUACGGAAGGAUUUGAGUAAGAGCAUGGCUGUUGGGACCCGAAAGAUGGUGAACUAUGCUUGAAUAGGGUGAAGCCAGAGGAAACUCUGGUGGAGGCUCGCAGCGGUUCUGACGUGCAAAUCGAUCGUCAAAUUUGGGCAUAGGGGCGAAAGACUAAUCGAACUAUCUAGUAGCUGGUUCCUGC
This 877-nucleotide ribosomal RNA is filed under the name Curvularia comoriensis. RNAcentral describes it as "eukaryotic LSU rRNA". It matches the Rfam family "Eukaryotic large subunit ribosomal RNA", at positions 66 to 961 of the family's 3401-position model. Lineage: Eukaryota; Fungi; Ascomycota; Dothideomycetes; Pleosporales; Pleosporaceae. The record is from RNAcentral.